CGUUCAGCGGCGGACGGGUGAGUAACACGUGGGCAACCUGCCCUGCAGAUCGGGAUAACUCCGGGAAACCGGCGCUAAUACCGGAUAGUUUUUCGCACCUCCUGGUGCGAAACGGAAAGGCGGCUUUUAGCUGUCACUGCAGGAUGGGCCCGCGGCGCAUUAGCUAGUUGGUGAGGGUAACGGCCCACCAAGGCGACGAUGCGUAGCCGACCUGAGAGGGUGAUCGGCCACACUGGGACUGAGACACGGCCCAGACUCCUACGGGAGGCAGCAGUAGGGAAUCUUCCGCAAUGGACGAAAGUCUGACGGAGCAACGCCGCGUGAGUGAAGAAGGUUUUCGGAUCGUAAAACUCUGUUGUGAGGGAAGAACACGUACCAGGUAACUACUGGUACCUUGACGGACCUCUACCAGAAAGCCACGGCUAACUACG
Molecule: ribosomal RNA, 431 nt
Filed under: uncultured bacterium
Lineage: Bacteria
Description: bacterial SSU rRNA
Rfam family: Bacterial small subunit ribosomal RNA
Source: RNAcentral